UUGGUUUUCCUUAUGGUAAAGGUUGAAUGUGGUUGCUUUUGAACAAUGCACAUGGGUUUGAACAAUUUUGAGAAAGGGAUAGAUAUAUAUGUAUAUACGUUAGUUGAGGAAUAGUUGGUGAUUUAUAGAUGAUAUUAAAAUAUUUUGAUUGCAUGUGAUUUUUAAAGUUCAAAUUGAAUUUGCUUUGUUUUAUUGGCUAAUGUAGUUGCUUUGAAAAUUUCAUUGUAGCCUUGUUAUGUGGUUUUAAGAAGUUUUAGGCAAGAACUUAUCGUGCAAAAA
This 279-nucleotide long non-coding RNA is filed under the name Manihot esculenta (cassava). RNAcentral describes it as "long non-coding RNA (MESC_LNC010954)". Lineage: Eukaryota; Viridiplantae; Streptophyta; Magnoliopsida; Malpighiales; Euphorbiaceae. The record is from RNAcentral.